Leopardus geoffroyi (Geoffroy's cat) is the source of this 689-nucleotide long non-coding RNA. RefSeq lists it as uncharacterized. NCBI's taxonomy places the organism in Eukaryota, Metazoa, Chordata, Mammalia, Carnivora, Felidae. The transcript is spliced from 3 exons. The record is from RefSeq and is a predicted model, not a curated record.
UCCCACCGCCAUCUUUGCAGUGGGUUUUGCUGAAGUCGAAUGGUUGUGUUUCUUGCCUUUUUUUUUUUUUUUUUUUUAAGACAUGGUUUUCCUGAGCUGAAUUUCCUUAUUGUUGUACACUGAAAAGAGCGCUUGAAAGGAAAUUCAGUUUCUACUGGGUUGAUUCACUACUGUGCAAGAAGACAGAGAAUAUGCACUUUUAGGAAGGAACCUUUUUAUACAUAUGGCUAAUUGUGACUCUUAGUAAAUGGAUUACAGAACUCACAAAUGAGUGUGGACUCAAGGUUUAAAAACCACUGCAGGAACCAACUACCUAGGAAUGGAAUUACUGAAUCUUAGGGAAAAUGAAUUCACUUUACAAGGUAAUGCCAAAUUGCCCUUCAAAAGAGAUUGUUAAUAAUAUACAUGCCCCCCAGCAGCAUGUUUUUUAAAAGUCUCUGUCUCAUCAAUUCUUAGUAUUGUCAGAUUAACUUUUCCAAUAAAUAUAGUGGAUGUAAAUGGUAUCUCAAAAAGGUCUUAGCAUUUUUAAAAACCGAAUGAUCAUUAGGAAAAUGCAAAUCAAAACCACAGUGGGAUACUACUGCACAUCCAUCAGGAUGACUACUAUCAAAAAGCCAGAAAAUAAUAAGAGCUGGUGAGGAUGUAGAGAAAUUUUAUAAGUCUUGUGCACUGUUGGUGGGACUAUAAAA